CAAAUAAAUAAAAACUUUCAACAACGGAUCUCUUGGUUCUGGCAUCGAUGAAGAACGCAGCGAAAUGCGAUAAGUAAUGUGAAUUGCAGAAUUCAGUGAAUCAUCGAAUCUUUGAACGCACAUUGCGCCCGCCAGUAUUCUGGCGGGCAUGCCUGUCUGAGCGUCAUUUCAACCCUCAUGCCCCUAGGGCGUGGUGUUGGGGAUCGGCCAAAGCCCGCGAGGGACGGCCGGCCCCUAAAUCUAGUGGCGGACCCGUCGUGGCCUCCCCUGCGAAGUAGUGAUAUUCCGCAUCGGAGAGCGACGAGCCCCUGCCGUUAAACCCCCAAUUUCCAAGGUUGACCUCAGAUCAGGUAGGAAUACCCGCUGAACUUAAGCAUAUCAAUAAGCGGAGGAAAAGAAACCAACAGGGAUUGCCCUAGUAACGGCGAGUGAAGCGGCAACAGCUCAAAUUUGAAAUCUGGCGCAAGCCCGAGUUGUAAUUUGUAGAGGAUGUUUCUGGCGACGCGCCUUCCGAGUUCCCUGGAACGGGACGCCAUAGAGGGUGAGAGCCCCGUACGGUUGGAUGCCUAGCCUCUGUGAAACUCCUUCGACGAGUCGAGUAGUUUGGGAAUGCUGCUCUAAAUGGGAGGUAUACGUCUUCUAAAGCUAAAUACCGGCCAGAGACCGAUAGCGCACAAGUAGAGUGAUCGAAAGAUGAAAAGCACUUUGAAAAGAGGGUUAAAAAGUACGUGAAAUUGUUGAAAGGGAAGCGUUCAUGACCAGACUUGGGCAGGUUGAUCAUCCGUGGUUCUCCGCGGUGCACUCUGCCUGCCCAGGCCAGCAUCAGUUCGCCCCGGGGGAUAAAGGCUUUGGGAAUGUGGCUCCCUCGGGAGUGUUAUAGCCCACUGCGUAAUACCCUGGGGUGGACUGAGGUUCGCGCUC
RNAcentral lists this ribosomal RNA (921 nucleotides) under Clonostachys cf. compactiuscula CH022. RNAcentral's name for it is "eukaryotic LSU rRNA". The stretch from base 337 to 921 matches the Rfam family "Eukaryotic large subunit ribosomal RNA", at positions 1 to 600 of the family's 3401-position model. The record is from RNAcentral. Lineage: Eukaryota; Fungi; Ascomycota; Sordariomycetes; Hypocreales; Bionectriaceae.